AAAUAAUCCAAAAUAAUACAAAAUAAAAGAAAGACUUCAUAUUUUCCAUCCGAAUUAGACUUCAAUUUGUUAAAAUAUAAAUUAAAGAGUUUAGAGAUCAUUCUUCUUGGGCAAGUCACUACACAAAUCUUUUAUAAUCUCUCCAUUAGUAUUGUUUUCAUUGACUUUAUUUUCUAUUCCCAUUUUAUAGCAAUGCUUCUUACUUGUAGAACACUGGCCAUUUCCAUUCCUAUUUUCAAUUUCCUUACGUUUUGAUGAAGGAGUGGAAGUUGAUGACAAAUCAACUUCAUAAACCUCAACACCAUUAGUGAGAAAAAGCGAAAACCAAAUAGAAUUAAUAGAUAACGAAAUUUUAAUAAGUAUAAAUGAUGAAAUACAUAUUUAUAAGACGAUUGAACUUGUUCGAUCAAGAGAAACCACUGACGAAGGAUUCACAUAAAUAUCUGAGUCUUCAAGAACGAUUUCAUCAACAAUAUUUUCAUCAUACAGUCUAGUUACAUUGUAGUAGUCAUAUCUACUAAAGAUGUUUUCGUUCUGAAGAUAUAAGAGAAACUGAAACCAUUUAAAAAAAUUGAAGAUAAACCAUGGUGAACAUUUAAACUUUUUCAUAAUUAAUACCUUAGUAGUAGCAAUCACUUCCAUGAUAGUUUGCCUAGGAUACUUAGCAUCAUCAUCAUCCUCAAUUUUUGAUGCAAACUAUCUUCUAUAGAACGAAUUUGUUCCUCCUAAUGUUAUUCCAUCGCUUGAAAUGUUGCAUAAAAAUAUUUAA
RNAcentral lists this small RNA (769 nucleotides) under Arabidopsis thaliana (thale cress). RNAcentral describes it as "ATSL158080". Lineage: Eukaryota; Viridiplantae; Streptophyta; Magnoliopsida; Brassicales; Brassicaceae. The record is from RNAcentral.